CAACAUCUGGUCUAGCGGUGUGAUUCUCGCUUAGGGUGCGAGAGGUCCCGAGUUCAAUUCUCGGAAUGCCCC
This 72-nucleotide transfer RNA is filed under the name Olea europaea subsp. europaea. RNAcentral describes it as "tRNA.Pro". Lineage: Eukaryota; Viridiplantae; Streptophyta; Magnoliopsida; Lamiales; Oleaceae. The record is from RNAcentral.